RNAcentral lists this ribosomal RNA (407 nucleotides) under uncultured bacterium. Its description in RNAcentral is "partial 16S ribosomal RNA". It matches the Rfam family "Bacterial small subunit ribosomal RNA", at positions 30 to 526 of the family's 1533-position model. The record is from RNAcentral.
AUUGAACGCUGGCGGCAGGCCUAACACAUGCAAGUCGAGCGGAGCGGCGGACGGGUGAGUAAUGCCUAGGAAUCUGCCUGGUAGUGGGGGAUAACGUCCGGAAACGGGCGCUAAUACCGCAUACUAUCAGUUGAGCCUAGGUCGGAUUAGCUAUUGGGUGGGGUAAAGGCCUACCAAGGCGACGAUCCGUAACUGGUCUGAGAGGAUGAUCAGUCAAAUGGGAAUGGAGAAACGGCCCAAACCCUUCGGGGAGGAAGCGGUGGGAAAUAUCGGACAAUGGGGGAAAGCCUGCGGCAGACAUGCCGGUUGUGGGUAACAGGUCUUCGGAUUGUAAGGCAUGUUAAGUUGGGCGGCGUUACCAACAGAGUAAGCAACGGCUAACUACGUGCCAGCAGCCGCGGUAAUAC